AACGAACGCUGGCGGCAUGCCUAACACAUGCAAGUCGUGCGAGAAAGUUCCUUCGGGAGCGAGUAAAGCGGCGCACGGGUGAGUAACACGUAGGUAACCUGCCCCCCAGUCUGGAACAACUAGAGGAAACUCUAGCUAAUGCCGGAUGAGACCACGAUCCCUUCGGGGGUUGCGGCCAAAGAUGGCCUCUACUUGUAAGCUAUCGCUGAGGGAUGGGCCUGCGGGCCAUUAGCUUGUUGGUGAGGUAACGGCUCACCAAGGCUGUGAUGGCUAGCUGGUCUGAGAGGAUGACCAGCCACACUGGGACUGAGACACGGCCCAGACUCCUACGGGAGGCAGCAGUGGGGAAUAUUGCGCAAUGGGCGAAAGCCUGACGCAGCGACGCCGCGUGGGUGAUGAAGGCCU
This 405-nucleotide ribosomal RNA is filed under the name uncultured bacterium. Its description in RNAcentral is "bacterial SSU rRNA". It matches the Rfam family "Bacterial small subunit ribosomal RNA", at positions 29 to 417 of the family's 1533-position model. The record is from RNAcentral.